Molecule: long non-coding RNA, 556 nt
Organism: Sipha flava (yellow sugarcane aphid)
Lineage: Eukaryota; Metazoa; Arthropoda; Insecta; Hemiptera; Aphididae
Exons: 3
Source: RefSeq, a predicted model, not a curated record
CCAAUUACAUUAAUUAUACUAUUACUUAUUACCUUAGUUUUCUCACUAAUCACCGCUUUAACUUUUGAAUGAUUAAUGUCAUUACACCAAUAUAUUACAUCAAUCAGUCGGAACAUAAAUUUGAUACUUAAAACCGACCAAUACUCACAUGUGACUAUAUUGUAGAUGGCGGAUUUCAUCCCAUGCACCAGGAAUGUAAGCAAUACAAUGCAUUUAAUACAAUAAAGGUACAGCCUCUGCGUGAAUGCAACCACUGAACUACAGCCACGAACAAAGAUACAAGUUUGCAGUGGAGGACGAAAACUACAUUAAAUCACAAUUGAUGUUGUUUUCGUCGAAUUUUGAAUUUGAAAAAACAAUGUAUGUAUUCAUAACUUGGAGCUACACUUCUUCAAAAAAAUAGUUUCUUUUAUACCACUGAUCAAUUACAAAAAUGUUCAAAGAAAAAUUCGUGGAAACCAAAAAUAUACCUUACUAUUUAAAAUGUUCAUACACAUAUAUACUAACGUAGAAGACAAAUCUAGAAACAUUUUCUGAAUGUCUGUCAUAUAUACAA